AUAGUUGAAGUAUAUAUAGUGUACACCUUAGUUACAUUAAGGAAGUCUUAUUUUAAGCAACUAUU
RNAcentral lists this transfer RNA (65 nucleotides) under Ascobulla fragilis. Its description in RNAcentral is "tRNA-Val". The record is from RNAcentral. Lineage: Eukaryota; Metazoa; Mollusca; Gastropoda; Volvatellidae.